RNAcentral lists this ribosomal RNA (254 nucleotides) under uncultured bacterium. Its description in RNAcentral is "partial 16S ribosomal RNA". It matches the Rfam family "Archaeal small subunit ribosomal RNA", at positions 474 to 727 of the family's 1478-position model. The record is from RNAcentral.
CACCAGCAGCUCAAGUGGUGAUCACGUUUAUUGGGUUUAAAGGGUACGUAGUCGGUUCGGCAAGUUUUCUGUGAAAUCCUACAGCUCAACUGUGGGGAUGGCAGAAAAUACUACCGGGCUAGAGACCGGGGCAGGCGUGGGGUAUUCUGGGGGUAGCGGUGAAAUGCUAUAAUCCCUGGAGGACCACCGGUAGCGAAGGCGCCACGCUGGAACGGGUCUGACGGUGAGGUACGAGAGCUAGGGGAGCAAACAGG